RNAcentral lists this transfer RNA (75 nucleotides) under Candidatus Saccharimonadota bacterium. RNAcentral's name for it is "tRNA-Gln". It matches the Rfam family "tRNA". From Rfam's summary of the family: Transfer RNA (tRNA) molecules are approximately 80 nucleotides in length. Their secondary structure includes four short double-helical elements and three loops (D, anti-codon, and T loops). The record is from RNAcentral. Lineage: Bacteria; Candidatus Saccharimonadota.
UGGGGAUUCGCCAAGUGGUAAGGCACUGGAUUCUGGCUCCAGCAUUCGCAGGUUCGAAUCCUGCAUCCCCAGCCA